UUACAGUUGAUCAGACCCAAACACCAAGCUUAAAGACAGUCAAGCCAGCACUUCGGGACCAGCUUCACUCUUUUUGGAGCUCCAAGGUUUUAUUGUUUUUGUUUUCAUCUGCAUUAUUUCUUUUCUUAACUCUCUGCAGUGUUUGCAUCUAUAUUCAACUACUAACCUUUGUAAGCCUUUUACGCAUGCACAUAUUUGAUUUCAAAUGUUAUUUAAAUGCAAUGCCAGACUCUUAAGUCUUCUGGAGAAACUUAAUGGUGAUACAUGUUUGGAAGGCAUCACAUUAUUGCCAUCUAACCCUAAGCUGGUAAUGCAAACUCACUCUAUAAAGUCUUAUCUAAUUUUAUGUUUGUGAUUUCCCAUUACUUUUUUUUUUUUAAGUGUCAGGCGUUUUAACAGGUAUUUUGGGCAAAAUGUCAGUUUUGCCUAUGUAUUAACUAAACAAAAAUUUUUAAAUUUAAUCUCAGUCCCUUUCUUCAAUUAUCCUUAACUGAAAUAGUAACUUUCUUUUUUUUUCUGAUGUAUGCAUAACAUUUGGAGUUAUCAUUAACUUUCUCAUUUGUUAAUAUACACACAUUUUUCAGUUAAUGUAAAAACUAAAUGGAUUCCAAUUUGUGAUUUAAAAUGAUUAUUAAAUUUUACAUAAAAGAAAAAAAAUAAUGUAAAAGAAUAGCUCCUGAAUUCUUUGCUAAAGGUUUUUUUUUUUUUUUUUUUUUUAGUUUUUAUUAAAUGAGAUUAAAGUCAGGGAAAUAACAAGCAUAUGUGCUUAUACGAGUCCUAUAUUUUUCUGCUCUAUCCUGCACGAAAUAUAUUUCUACAAGCGUUACUGCCCAGGAUUGAUUUUUCCCUUAAGUUUCUGAAUGCAAUUGUGCCUCAGAAUCACAAUUA
Molecule: small RNA, 888 nt
Filed under: Pongo abelii (Sumatran orangutan)
Lineage: Eukaryota; Metazoa; Chordata; Mammalia; Primates; Hominidae
Description: retained intron
Source: RNAcentral